RNAcentral lists this long non-coding RNA (615 nucleotides) under Crocodylus porosus (Australian saltwater crocodile). Its description in RNAcentral is "lncRNA (ENSCPRG00005012527.1)". Lineage: Eukaryota; Metazoa; Chordata; Crocodylia; Crocodylidae. The record is from RNAcentral.
CGCGAGCUUCGUUGUACCCCUCGCCCAGAGCCUCCGACCCGCGCUUUGCUCUCCGCCCCGCCUGAGGAUCGCGGUCACAAAUCGCAGGCAGCGGGUGUCGUAGGGGAAUCUGCAAAUGCUUAAGCCUCCCUCUGCUUCGGCACUGGAAGGAAACGCUGCAUUUCCCAGUCGCGCGGGUUAAACUGCAGGCGCUGGCAAACAAUUGCUAGGAGGCCCUUCCAGCGUGCAUUGCAUGGAUAACUCUGUCUCUUCACAGGGCUGGGAAAGAAAUCCAAAGUCGUGACUCAGGAGGCGCCUCGGGAAGGAAGAAACCGUGGACGUCCUCGGCGUGGCCGUGCCUGUUCCUCUGUCUCCUAUUCGGCUCGAGAGCUGCUCGUUGUGGUCAGCUUUCCGCUCUCCUGCCGGCCCUGGAUCUCGUUCCAAAUUCAAUCUGCUCGAAGGCAAGGCGUUGGCGAGAGGGGAGCGCGGCUGAACUCCAAUCCAAGAAGAGCUGACCCUGACCCUGACCCUUUUGAUGAGAAGAACAGUUGCUGUCCCCUGGAAUAUUGGAGAAUAAAAAGGAGAUUUCUGAAUUUCAUCCUCGUUGGGUUGUUAGUGCUUUCUUUGGUGUCUUUC